This 488-nucleotide ribosomal RNA is filed under the name uncultured bacterium. RNAcentral's name for it is "partial 16S ribosomal RNA". It matches the Rfam family "Bacterial small subunit ribosomal RNA", at positions 28 to 507 of the family's 1533-position model. The record is from RNAcentral.
GACGAACGCUGGCGGCGUGCUUAACACAUGCCAGUCGAACGGAAAGGCCCUGCUUUUGUGGGGUGCUCGAGUGGCGAACGGGUGAGUAACACGUGAGUAACCUGCCCUUGACUUUGGGAUAACUUCAGGAAACUGGGGCUAAUACCGGAUAGGAGCUCCUGCUGCAUGGUGGGGGUUGGAACGUUUCGGCGGUUGGGGAUGGACUCGCGGCUUAUCAGCUUGUUGGUGGGGUAGUGGCUUACCAAGGCGUUGACGGGUAGCCGGCCUGAGAGGGUGACCGGCCACAGUGGACGUGAGCCACGGGCCAGGCUCCUAGGGGAGGCAGCAGGGGGGGAGAGUGGACAAUGGGCGCGAGCCUGGUACAGCCAGAGCGCGUGGGUGAAGAAGGCCUCCGGGGUGUAAAGCCGUUUUGUGGGGAAAGAAAAGCAGCAGGUUAAUACCCAGCUGUUCUGACGGUAACAAAAGAAUAAGCACCGGCUAACUUCGUG